This 253-nucleotide ribosomal RNA is filed under the name uncultured bacterium. RNAcentral's name for it is "partial 16S ribosomal RNA". It matches the Rfam family "Bacterial small subunit ribosomal RNA", at positions 524 to 776 of the family's 1533-position model. The record is from RNAcentral.
GACGUAGGGCGCGAGCGUUGUCCGGAAUUAUUGGGCGUAAAGAGCUCGUAGGCGGCCUGUUGCGUCCGCUGUGAAAGCCUGGGGCUUAACCCCGGGUCGGCAGUGGAUACGGGCAGGCUAGAGGUAGGUAGGGGAGAAUGGAAUUCCCGGUGUAGCGGUGAAAUGCGCAGAUAUCGGGAGGAACACCGGUGGCGAAGGCAGGUCUCUGGGCAUUAACUGACGCUGAGGAGCGAAAGCGUGGGGAGCGAACAGG